RNAcentral lists this ribosomal RNA (3054 nucleotides) under Triticum aestivum (bread wheat). RNAcentral's name for it is "partial small subunit ribosomal RNA". Lineage: Eukaryota; Viridiplantae; Streptophyta; Magnoliopsida; Poales; Poaceae. The record is from RNAcentral.
GACAUGUAAAAUUUUAAGUUGCCCACGUGGGCCGGUGGCAAUUUUUUUGACCCGGACUACUUAAGCCCACGAUCCACACCCAUCUAACCCUAAUCCCCUUUCUCUCCUCCGUUCCCUCCGCCGCCACAGCUGCCCGCGCCCGAUUUCGGCGAUUGCAGCGGCUAUUGCUGGCGCGGAGCACCCCACUGAGCUCGCUUCGCUCGGGUCCAUCCUCCCCUCCGCAAGAUUUCCCCCUCCCGGCUUCUACCGCUCGCCAAAAAUCCAGUCCCGUGCUAGGGUUUUCUACUCCAGCACACCCUUCAUCGUCGGCGCAUCUCCGGCGGCCUCUGGCAGCUCUUAUUCGUCGUCUACGGCGCCCGCAGUUGUCAGUCCACCUCGAGCAGGUCGGCGUGGAGGAUCUCCUCCCGCAGGUUCCAUGGACAUGGCGCACCCUGCAGUUGCUGGUCUGGGACGAGGGCGGGCAUGGCGAGCCUUGUCUUGCUCAACGAUGAUGCCGGCGAACGCCGGUGCUCCUCCUGGUCGACCUCUAAGGAGGAGCGCCAGUACAGCAUCAGCACGCCCUGCGGCUGAACCCCCCUUCUCCACCCAUCCAGUGGCGUACAGGAUGUCAGCAAGUCCAACACCCCCUUAGCCCUACGGCCCUGCCUCCUGUCCUCUAGCUCCAACAGUUUUUAUUUACCGUUAAGGUACAUGAAUCACUCGUGGAAAUAUUCUGAUAUUUAUGUACUGACUUGGUUCUUGGGCAGGAGGAGUUAGUGCAGAAUCAAUAUCAGAACCAUCAAAAGUUCAGGAUUGGACGUGGUGUUAUUUUGUUCCAGUUUCUAGACAGAGCCAUAUAUGUACGUAUAUCUAUGUUAUAUGCAGUAUGCUGGUACAUAUAUCUAUGUUAUAUGCAGUAUGCUGGUAUGUUCAAAUCAUCGUUCCAAUCCAUAUAUACCACAUUAAAAAUGUAUUACAGGCAUCGACAGUAUUCCAUCUCAAUGCAAGCACAAUGUCUCUCCCUUUGUCAGCUUGACAAACUGCACUUUUCAGUAUCUCUGCUGCUUAGAGCUCUAAGAAGCUUGAUUUUUGUGUAAAAAAUUAAUUCUUCGUGGUUUUAUCCAAAAUUUACAUCUCUUCAAAAGCUUAGCAUAUAUAAGAAUAGGAGUUUUAUGUUACUUCCAUGUUUACAUCAUGAAUGCCAUGGUUUUGAACAUUUUCAGCUGUAUUUGGUAGUGCGAGGUUAGUUGUCCUCCUAUAAAGCUAACAAGCUGUUUAUUGUGCAUGAACUCUUUCUGGUGAACAUUAGGUGAAAAAUGACCAAGCAAGAACAUAUCCAUGAAUUGAGUUACUUAUUCCAUGUAUUCGGGCCUAUUUUUUAUCUUUUUUAGAACAAGACAGUGCAUUCAUGUAUCAGCUACAUGGCAAAAUGUCGUGCUAUCGUUUCUGGAUAAAUGGUGCUUAGGUGGUGUAUAGUCAGUUCCCUUCACUCUCCCUCUCCCAGUUUUACAUUCUUUCCCCAUCUUUUUAUUUCAAAUUGAGACAUUUAUGUCAGUUUUCUGUUCAUUUGCUACAUAACAGUCGAAGGUAGGAGUCGAAGGUAGGAGUUUGUGGUUCUGUGAUUGUAGUUGUAUAUGAUGAUUUGCACCAUGUGUUUUCUUAAACUGUAGAAACUCUCUUACAAAAACUGUGUAUACAGGAGGGGCACAACUCAACUAAAUAGUUCAUUUAGAUGCCUAGUAGAGAGAUAAUAGGGUCCCAACAGCAAUACAAUAUAGUCUGAGUUGUUUUUAAGAUAACUCGGACACCAGUUGGCAGGUUAUGAUAACCGUCUCUUAGAGGCUGAUUUUUUACUAAUAGUUAUUGCUCAUUCAGAAGGGGAGCAUGACUCCACCAAUGGACAUGCACCUUUCCGUCCUUGAAAUUUAAACGCUCGACAUUCUUGUAUUUUUCAUGUAUGUCGUAGUGGAGUCAAAUAUGGCCUCUUUUGUUAGGAAAUUAUAUCUUCGGAUAUUUUGGGUACAUUCCUUGAAUUUUUGCAUCCCAAUCUCUCAGUAAUACUCCUUCAUUAUGUUUCUAAAUGUAUUUUGUUUGUUCUAGAAUAAAUCAUAUACUGCAUUUUGCAUCAUUUAAAUGCGCUGGUUCUGAUCAUAUCUCCACUUUUGUCCUGUAUGUUUUGCGAAAUGGAGUAAUUAACUUGAAUUGUUAAUGCGAUUCAGAUCUUUGGCAUGUACAGUUCAUAUAGCUAAUGCCUCCCUACAAAUGACUUUGACCCCACUACAACUGUUCAAAGUUUACAUGCAUAUUGUUUAUGUUGGGUUCACUUCAUAUAGGAGCAAAAUCUGAGAAGUUGUUGCGUUCAGGUUUAUGUGAGUUCUUGCUAUGGCUCCACUUCAACGCUGUUUAGUUGUAAUAUCACGCCUUUGAACGACUUUUUCAUAAUACUUCUGUUGUUACGCAACCUUAGCUGGGCUGCAUUUCUUAUCUGAGUUGUAGUGGAACUUUUUAUGUCAAAUAAGCACAACGGAGUUUAGUUCUUUUCUCCCUACCAACUCUAUUGAUCUAUCACAGUUAAUCAUUACUUUUUGUUGUCGCUGGUUGUUUCUUUCACAUGUUCAGUUAAGUUUGUUGCACUAGUUUGCAUCCUGGGAGUGAAAAAAAUAUCGUGAUAAUGUGUAAGCUACUUCUAGUUUUACCUACUGGCUAUUACAUUUUAUAAUGUGACGUAAUUUUCAUAAUGUGGCAGAUAUUGGUUUAUGGGAGCAGUUUCAACCACAACGACAUGCAUUUUGAUGACUUCGGUGUGCAGCCAGAAACAUGGGAUCACCCAUAGUUGCUGUUUGAUGAGAGUUGGCCUUGCUGAUUUGGGUGGUACUGCCUGGAGAGUAGCAUAGUGUUCUUUGAGACAUGCUUGUAAAAUUAGUGUUUUCUGGGUCUUCCUUUUGCUCCUGUACUAAUAUAUUUUUGGUGUAUAUUUGUAAUUUUCUUUUUUUAGUGAAAUGAGCAUAUAUUUUUCGGCAAACUCUUAAUAGCCUGAAAUUUCCAUGGACCAAGAGAAAUGACUGAUGGGCUGAU